UCCAAGACUAUUUUGGGUUGAGCUAGACCGGGAUCAAACAAACAAGUUGAUUUCAUUGUUUUCAUCCUCACCGGUCAUUGCGGAUACUUCUCUCCCUAGCAAUACACAGAAUUGGAGCAGUCUAUUCAAAGCUUCAUCUGUGCAGGAAGGUGGCAGCAUUGAGAUGCUUGCAUUAGAAUGGGAUGCUCAUCCAGCCCAGGCCAGUGCAGAAUGGGAAUCCCGGCAUGCUCCUGAUCUGUGGGGAGGAGAAGCUCUCAUUGACAAGGAGGUGAAAGAAAAGGAUGAGGAAACAGGAGAUCAUGAUCGAUCUUACGCUUCUGUCUUGAGAGAUGUGAGGACUUCUUUUCCACAAAAAAGAAGGGUACUUGGGAUGGCAUCAGAAGCACAAAUGGUUUUAGAAAUGGAGUCCUCUGAACUUCAGUUUCUUGUGGCUGAGCAAGCAAAGAGGGAUUUUAAAUCAUUCCUGUUAAAAAACUAGAAACAGGCAGUUCUUUGCUGCAGAAUAUGAGAAUGUUAGUGUUGCUUUGCCGCUUUUCUCAUUCAACUACAGUGAUAGGAAGCUUCAUGCAAUCUUCGAGGCUGCAAGCUCAGGACAGAUGAAUAUUUAUCCAUGUGGAUGGACUUCAGGUGGUUCAUGUACCCACUAUGUGACACAGGUCAAGAUUCGAACUCCAAUGCAUUGCCAGCCCUUGCUGGAAGAUUAGUUCAAACCUGUAAUUGCUGAAAACUACUUUAAACCAAGACUAUUUUGGGUUGAACUAGACCGGGAUCAAACAAACAAGUUGAUUUCAUUGUUUUCAUCCUUGCCAAUCAUUGCGGAUCCUUCUCUCCCAGGCAAUACACAGAAGUGGAGCAGUCUAUUCAAAGCUUCAUCUGUGCGGGAAGGUGGUAGCAUUUAGAUGCCUGCAUUAAAAUGGGAUGCUCAUCCAGCCCAGACCAGUGCAGAAUGGGAAUCCUGGCAUGCUCCUGAUCUGUGGGGAGGAGAAUCUCUCAUUGACAAGGAAGUGACAAAAAAGGAUGAGGAAACAGGAGAUCAUGAUCGAUCUUACACUUCUGUCUUGAGAGAUGUGGCUGAGGAUAAAGUGGAGAUGGAUUGGUUAAAGAAAGAGACUUGUAUAAUAUGCAAUAGAGGUGGACGGGUGUUGGCUUGUACUGAAACUGGCUGCCCACUUGUUUUCCAUGAGAAUUGCACGCAUGGAAAACCUGAAUUUGAUGCCUUGGGACGUUUUUACUGCCCCGCUUGUUUUUACUGAAUUCCAUGAGAAAGGCUUUCCUUUCCCUUGAUUGUUGUGUCUUGAUUGCCAAUUGUUUGCAAGCUUUCUUCGCCAGAUUGGUCUUUUCCCUCAACUUCAGAGUUUCCACAACCGCUUGCAAACAAUUGGCAAUCAAGACACGACAAUCAAGGGAAAAGUCAAUGUUGGCAAGGAAAGCCUUUCUCAAUUUUAUAGACACAAUUAGUGAGAAUGGACAGAAGCAAAAAGAGGGGGAAGCUAAGAUGAAAGAGCACAAGGUAUCAAGGCGUAAGAGACUACGUUGGACAGCUGAAGAGGAAAAUAUAUUGAAGGAAGGAGUGCACAAAUUUUCACUUACAGCGAACAAAAAUCUUCUGUGGGGGAAGAUUUUGGAAUUUGGUCAGCACAUCUUCACUGAGGCUCGCACUCCAGUUGAUCUCAAGGACAAGUGGAAGAAUAUGUUGGCCAAACAGUACAACCAUUAAGUGCUUCUCUGAAGGCAUGGACAAGUAUGGCUUUCUCGCCUUCUCUACUGCUGUCGUUGCUUUUCCCGCAAGUCCUUUUUAACUAAAGCACUCCUGUUAUCAUUGUGGACUUCUUGUUGUUAUUGUUAGUAUCUUCAAUCAGUCCACAAAUAUAAAUUUUAACUCCCACUCUCGUAAUAGAAAUGAUUAACCUUAGUGCUUCCAAUCUAGUCAUGCACCAACGGAUGGUAUGUUUUGCUGCGUUUGCUACCCAUGGUUCUCCAUCUCCGUUGGCAACCUAGCUCCCUUAGAAACAAGCUUUAGGCUUCAAUGCAAGUUCUGUUCUUGUCUUGCUUUUAGGUUUUUCAGUAUUGCGACUUCGAUUUAUUUUGUUAUGCAAGGGGCACUAUAAUCUCGUAAAUUGAUCUCUGAAUUCACAUAAUACUUGUUACGGGAUAUAUAUAUAUAUAUAUGCACUUUUUACUAUCUGAGGUUGUACACUCGAUGAAAAUUGUCUUGUCAAACAAGGGAAGAGGGUAUCUCUCUCGCUCUCUUGUGGUUUGUUUUUGAUUUCCUGCUGAAUAGUGUCUACUUGUCAUUUUUAAUUUAUUAAAACCCGGAAAAACUUGCAAUUUGUGUGAUGAAUGAUUUGCUUUAAAACUUUGAAAUGUAAUUUUAUAAGGGUUGCUUGGACUUUUUGGAUUUAGAAGUACUUCAGAAGUUUACUGCAGCAAUCACCUUUUUAUUUACUUUCUGGACUUUUUGCAAACAUUCACAGAUGAAUAAAAGUCUCUAAGUAUGGUGUGCAUGCUAGUAGUUGGGGCUGAUUGGCUGAACUCUCUUGAUGGGAUGCCAUCUUAUUAACCCCAUGAUUCCAAACGCAAACUGAUUGAUAUUUUUUGCAAAUGAUAAGUUUUGAAUCCAAAGCCUCCAGCCACAUUAUUCAGUAGGUCAUUCCGUUGCAUCAGUUGGGUGUCAUCUGUAAGUGCAUCUUUAUAGUCCAGACACAAACACUCAUGUAACUCCCAUAUGUAGGACCUGAAAUUUGAAUUUUUCUUUGCCAAAUAUGUGGAUCAACUAUUACCAGCAAAAAAAAAAAAAAAGUUUAAGUAUUUGGUGUAAUUAUUUGGUGCAAGUAUUUGGUGUCAUCUUUUUGUGCAGUAUUAUAUGAAGCGAUUGUCCGUGGACAUUCCCAUGGCAUCAGGACCUGACCAGCGAUUAUUUUUGAUUGAGGAUGAAGAAGAGUACAAGGUAGGUGGUGGGCUAGUAUUUGAGCUAAGAGAUCAGGUAGUGAAAGCGAUGGCAGCAACCAAGGAGUUUGAUGAUCUUGACCAAAUUGAAGAAGAGGAGGACGCUGAAAGAGCCCUCCAGAAGGCAGAAAAGAAGCACCAUGACCAAAUAUCAUGGUGGUUUCUUCAUUGAUUUCUUCUAUUUUGUUCCUUGUAAUAUUUCAAGGCAAUAUGGAUAUAUGCAUAUGCCACUGCCACUCCUUUGUGGUAAGGCUUUCUACAUGUUGUGCAUUCGUGUAUGCACACAUUACCGUGAAAUAAUGUCCAAUUCGAGUCUAGUUUUAAGAUUCUUAGUAAUACUUUCAUCAGAACAAUUUCCCCCGAGUGUUGAGAACAGUAGUGUUUUAAAACAGCUUUUGCGUGUAACUGAAAAGCUAGCUAGUAAUUUGUAGCUGUAUGCGUAGGCAAUUUGGGUGCCAACAAAAACAAU
Corylus avellana is the source of this 3415-nucleotide non-coding RNA. The record is from RefSeq and is a predicted model, not a curated record. NCBI's taxonomy places the organism in Eukaryota, Viridiplantae, Streptophyta, Magnoliopsida, Fagales, Betulaceae.